UGUUUAAUAUUCAAAUAUGAAUUAAGGUUGCAAAUCUUAGAGUGGGGGAACCCUUAAGCUU
Molecule: transfer RNA, 61 nt
Filed under: Folsomotoma octooculata
Lineage: Eukaryota; Metazoa; Arthropoda; Collembola; Entomobryomorpha; Isotomidae
Description: tRNA-Cys
Source: RNAcentral